RNAcentral lists this ribosomal RNA (379 nucleotides) under uncultured bacterium. RNAcentral describes it as "bacterial SSU rRNA". It matches the Rfam family "Bacterial small subunit ribosomal RNA", at positions 524 to 898 of the family's 1533-position model. The record is from RNAcentral.
GACGGAGGGGGCAAGCGUUGUCCGGACUUACUGGGCGUAAAGCGCGUGUAGGUGGUCGGUUGCGUCGGCGCUGAAACCGCUGGGCUUAACCCAGCGACGCGUGCCGAUACGAGCCGACUGGAGGCAGGCAGAGGGUGGCGGAAUUCCGGGUGUAGUGGUGAAAUGCGUAGAGAUCCGGAGGAACGCCUGAGGCGCAAGCGGCCACCUGGGCCUGACCUGACACUGAGACGCGACAGCGGGGGGAGCGAACCGGAUUAGAUACCCGGGUAGUCCACGCCGUAAACGAUGCCAGCUCGGUGUCUGGGACCCGUCUAGGGGCCUGGGUGCCUCAGCUCACGCGGUAAGCUGGCCGCCUGGGGACUACGAGCGCAAGCUUAAA